RNAcentral lists this long non-coding RNA (548 nucleotides) under Gossypium raimondii (Peruvian cotton). RNAcentral's name for it is "long non-coding RNA (GRAI_LNC004469)". Lineage: Eukaryota; Viridiplantae; Streptophyta; Magnoliopsida; Malvales; Malvaceae. The record is from RNAcentral.
AUUUGCUCAAAUCAAGAUUCAUAUCCAUUGUGAAUAAACAAAAAUCAUUCAUGUCAUAUCAAAUUGAAAACACGAAGAUGAGAUGCAAGCUUGUCCCACGACGUAGAAAACAAUAAUUAACAGUAAAUAUAGAGGAAGGAAAGAGUAGUCGAGGGGGGUUAGCCACAACCAUUUCACAAUAAAAAGAGGAAAAAAUUGACUACAGGGGGUUAUCUGCGGCUGCUCCUUGCGGCUUCCCAUAGUGGCUCUCUUCCUCAUCUUUUAUGAUAAAAUCAUUUAGACGUUUUCAAGACAUCCUCCUAGUUGCUCUUAUUUUGACAAGUGUUUGCCUUAUUUUGUGGAGUUCAAGUGUUUAGGAAGCCAUGUGAAAGGCAAGAAAACUUAAUGUUAUUUCUCUCUAAAAGAUCGUGUUUUGAUGAAUGAUAAUGAGGUCUCAGUUUAUAAGCUUAUGCCCCAAACGUCUUUGCUAUUUUUUGCAAAGAGAUUGCUUGAUUUCUCCCCAUGAUUGACGUCCCUUGAAUGGUGGAAGUGGGUGAAGAUUUUGCUUG